Molecule: long non-coding RNA, 3070 nt
Organism: Solanum lycopersicum (tomato)
Lineage: Eukaryota; Viridiplantae; Streptophyta; Magnoliopsida; Solanales; Solanaceae
Source: RefSeq, a predicted model, not a curated record
UCAACAUCAUUAUUAAUCAUCACUAUUGACCCCAAUAACCUAUGUCAUCACAAUCAUCACUGACAACCAUCAUUAUUGUCAAUCACUAUUGUCAGUCACUAUCACAUUUAUUAUUUUUAUUAUUUAUAUCAUAUCCUUGUCACCACUGCCGCCUUCACUACUACACUAUUACGAUCGAUCCCUACUAUCAAUCACCCCACCAUCUCAAUUAACAAUGUCGGCAAUGACAACCAAACGCAUCGUCAACCACAAUCACCAUCAGUUUUACACUAUUGUGUAGUGAUUAUUCCUCAUAUAUAGUAUACAUCUAUGUAUAAUAAGUUUUACAGGUAAUGUGCAAUUGUUUCAAACGAAGGUCAAUAUUUAAGUUUGAGAAUUUUGUGCGAUUUCUAUUUACUUUUUUUUUUUAAAAAAAAAGAAGUUAAAGUCAGGUGAAUAAAGUGAUGAUAGGCCUAUAUCUAUUGUAUAAUCAAUAUAUAGGAUAUACAUAUUGAUUAUACACAAAUUAUGUAGUGAUUAUUCAUCAACUAUACAUUAUAAAAUUAUGCAUAAUGUUUAGAAGUAAUAUACAAUAGAUUCAAACGAAGUAAAUAUUGAAGUUCUCUAACUUCAUAAUGAUAUACUAAAUGUACUUCGUUUAUAUGGAUUUGAGCUCAAACUACCCUCAUCGGACCUAAAACUUUCAUCUUUGCAAGAGUUACACCUUGAGGAAUCAUUUCUGGACGAGCAAUUACUUCAAUAUCUACGCACAACUUGUAAUCAUUUACAAGUUUUGUCUUUCAAGAGAUUUCUGUUGCUAAACACCAUGAAGAUCUCAUGUGACUGUCUCGAGCGCUUGGCAAUCGUCGCGUGUGAUAAUUUGGAUGUGGAUGCUCCUAACUUAAUGUUAUUCACAUAUCAUGUUCAUUAUGGAACCACACUCAAACUGAAAGGUUCACAUUCGCUGGAAGCUCAUCUCACCUUGAUCCCAGAAACCAUCGAGUCUCAUUGGUACUCUAAGCUCACAAAGUCUCUUGGUAACUUUAAUCAUUCCAAGUCUGUUAUCUAAGCUGCGAUUGUGAUGAGGUGAUAGUUAUACCAAAAGACGUGAGAGGAAACUUCAAUUAACACUCCAUUUUAUGCUACUAAUGGUUUCCAUGUAAACAUUCAUAAUCUAGUGAAACAUUCAGUUGUGGACGUUCUUGAUAGUUUGUUUUGGAUUUCUCCCCAAUUGGGCACUGUAUUAAUACGAUUCAUAAGCUGAUAAAAAGAGCUUUAACAUUCUUUAUAUAGGUUUCAUGAUUGUGUUCUUGCAGGUUUUCGUUGUUUUGUAGUUUAUAUACAGAUUACAGAGAUGCAUCAGAUAAGGAUGAGAGACCUUGUUGUACAUGCGUAUCUCUACCUUUUAAGUGUUGGGAAGCAUAAGUUAGAGAGAGUCAAAUUUCAAAAUUUUACGAGCGCGUUGCUCGAGAAGUUGAAGAACUACAUUUACAUUUUCACAAAUGCAGAUGACUUGGAGAUAAUAGAAGUACCACCAGAAUGCAGACUUUGAGCCAAAUGGUCCAUUUCAUAAUUUCCUUGGUUUUUUUUAGUGUUGUUGCGUCUUGGCUUAAUUUGAAUAAACUUAGCAUGUCUUCUUGUGAUGACAGACAUACUAUCAGCCCGUGUAAUUCUAUUACAAACUUUUUGCCUGCAUGUUCAUCCAAGGGGAUUCUUAACCUUGAAAAGUUACUGGUUAAGAGGUACGUCAUAGAAAUGCAAGUAAAAAAGUUUACAUACUUUUAAUGAGCUGGUGUUAGCUGGUCUUCAUUUUGUGGGUAAUACCUACUAUGAUGUCCGAUGGAAGAUUGGGAGGGUGGACUACAGUAUUUCCCAACUAAACAGUCUUCCACAUCUACGCUGGGAUUAUAAAAUCUUGGGCUAAAAAUUCAACCGGUUUUGGUCUAUCAUAUCAUAUCGUCCAUUCCAACUUCCAAACGAUGCACCAAUAUGAGUAAUACGAUUUAGAAGAAACAAACAAUAUGCUGUACUCAUGAUCCGCCUUGCUGAAAAGGUUUGCUCAAUUUGUUCCAGUCCAAAAAAAUGCAGUCAGAAUAGUUGCAUAUUAGCACGCUGGGUGCAACAACUUGCUGGCAACAAAGUUGGGAUAUGAGUACCUGACCAUCGCCUCAUAACUUCAAUUAUUCAACUUGAAGUGUAAAUGGGUAUUUUACAUAUCCCUCAGAUGAAGGUUUUCAAAGGAAAAACUUCAAAUAAGUGUACGAUGAACAGCAGUUAUCAAGACCAAAGAGCGAGUUACAUUAAGGAAAGAAUAAAGAACCACAGUUUAUAUCAGAGCGCUUUCAGAUAACAAAGUUUAUAGAUGCAGCACAACAACGAGCACAUUGGCAAGCUGAUCAGAGUAUCCCAAGUCCACUAGCAAUGUUCUAUAAAAUCUCAUGUUUCCACUAAAACCUACUUUAAGGAAACACAGGCGGUAGAGUUUAGAAAAUUCCUAAUACAAUAUAGGACAUCCCGUUACGAUGCUCUCAAGCCUCAGCUGCUAAGGUAUAUAGAGUCAUAAAGGGUCGUCAUCAUCCCUAAGGACCACAACUACUUCAGAAGUUCAUAUCAUUGGACUUAGAGAACCUCAAGGAUGACACAAGUUUUGUUGAAGAGGUGACUUAUGUGGGUAUCAAACUCCAUAAUCAACUACAUUAAACCUCACAUCUUUCUUAAGACUUUGAGAAUUCCGGGAUGUACCAAAUGUUCAGCAUUUGGAACUUAGGCGUAUGGUACACAUCCCAUCAACAACAGGGAAAACACCAAAGCCAACCCAUAGCUUCUUCACAAUCGCAUAACAUCAUAGAUUCUCAAAAACAUCAGAAAAUAUCAGUUCAAAUCGGACACCAAGAAUCCUCUACUACUCUGAAGAAUAAGUUAGCAUGGACAUCCCAAAUCUACAUGAGAAAAGGCUUAAGAUGCUGCAAUGUCUAAUAAUGCAAACAUACAGAUGUCACAGGCUCAAUUGGUAAAGCAAAUUGACUACACAAUCACAAGAGAGUAAAAUGUACAUAGAAGUGUUCAAUCUUAAUGUAUGCAACAGAUAAAA